UCCUUCUUACCACACAUAUGAUUACUACACCCUGAGUCAAUGAACCAUGCUUCUUCCUUAUCUGAUUCUUUAUUUUCCAUGGAUGCCAUCAAAAGCAUUUCAUCUUGAAAUUCUGCAUAAUUGACUUCACUCUCCUUGCUUGGACAUUCAUAUUGAAAAUGUCCAAGUUUAUGGCAGUAAUAACACUCCACAGUGGACUUGUCAAAAUUGGCAUGCCCCUUCCUCCUCCUCGUCCGCGAAAUCUCCACGACCACGACCCGGACGCGCUCUUGUUCUGCUUCAUAGUUACUUACAAGGCUUGCUCUUCAAUAACAGGAACAUUCAGCUUGCUUGCUCAUGCACCAGCAAGCUACUUUGUAGUUGGUCGACUGAUAAGGCGUCAAUGUCAUUUGACUCCUCAAUGGAGCAAACCACAUAGUUGAAUUUCGGAGUCAUGGACCGCAAAAUUUUUUCAAUAACAACAACAUCUCCCAUAGUCUCUCCAUGAGUUCUCAUCUUGUUGGCUAUGGUGAGGGUUCGAGAAAAGUACUCGUUCACCGAUUCUCCAGCUUUCAUCUGCAAGAUUUCAAAUUCCCUUCGAAGUGCUUGUAGUUGUGCUCGUU
Molecule: long non-coding RNA, 602 nt
Filed under: Lathyrus oleraceus (garden pea)
Lineage: Eukaryota; Viridiplantae; Streptophyta; Magnoliopsida; Fabales; Fabaceae
Description: Pisum sativum (pea) long non-coding RNA (PSAT_LNC028832)
Source: RNAcentral